GUAGGGUGCGAGCGUUGAUCGGAAUUACUGGGCGUAAAGCGAGCGCAGACGGUUAAUUAAGUCAGAUGUGAAAUCCCCGAGCUCAACUUGGACGUGCAUUUGAAACUGGUUAACUAGAGUGUGUCAGAGGGAGGUAGAAUUCCACGUGUAGCAGUGAAAUGCGUAGAGAUGUGGAGGAAUACCGAUGGCGAAGACAGCCUCCUGGGAUAACACUGACGUUCAUGCUCGAAAGCGUGGGUAGCAAACAGGACUAGAUACCCUGGUAGUCCACGCCCUAAACGAUGACAAUUAGCUGUUGGGACACUAGAUGUCUUAGUAGCGAACUAACGCGUGAAAUUGUCCGCCUGGGGAGUACGGUCGCAAGAUUA
RNAcentral lists this ribosomal RNA (368 nucleotides) under uncultured bacterium. RNAcentral describes it as "bacterial SSU rRNA". It matches the Rfam family "Bacterial small subunit ribosomal RNA", at positions 527 to 896 of the family's 1533-position model. The record is from RNAcentral.